Molecule: ribosomal RNA, 547 nt
Filed under: uncultured bacterium
Lineage: Bacteria
Description: bacterial SSU rRNA
Rfam family: Bacterial small subunit ribosomal RNA
Source: RNAcentral
AAUAGAUACCCGGGUAGUCCACCCCGUAAACGUUGGGAACUAGUUGUGGGGUCCUUUCCACGGAUUCCGUGACGCAGCUAACGCAUUAAGUUCCCCGCCUGGGGAGUACGGCCGCAAGGCUAAAACUCAAAGGAAUUGACGGGGACCCGCACAAGCGGCGGAGCAUGCGGAUUAAUUCGAUGCAACGCGAAGAACCUUACCAAGGCUUGACAUACACGAGAACACCCCAGAAAUGGGGGACUCUUUGGACACUCGUGAACAGGUGGUGCAUGGUUGUCGUCAGCUCGUGUCGUGAGAUGUUGGGUUAAGUCCCGCAACGAGCGCAACCCUCGUUCUAUGUUGCCAGCACGUAAUGGUGGGAACUCAUGGGAUACUGCCGGGGUCAACUCGGAGGAAGGUGGGGAUGACGUCAAAUCAUCAUGCCCCUUAUGUCUUGGGCUUCACGCAUGCUACAAUGGCCGGUACAAAGGGCUGCAAUACCGUGAGGUGGAGCGAAUCCCGAAAAGCCGGUCCCAGUUCGGAUUGAGGUCUGCAACUCGACCUCAUG